CGUCUAGGCUGGUCAAUAAGUCGGGUAUGAAAGCCCUGGGCUCAACUCAGGAAUUGUGCCCGAUACUGUUGGUCUUGAGUGCAGAAGGGGAGAGUGGAACUCCUGGUGUAGCGGUGAAAUGCGUUGAUACCAGGAUGAACGCCGGUGGCGAAAGCGGCUCUCUAGUCUGCUACUGACGCUGAAGCGCGAAAGCUAGGGGAGCGAACG
This 207-nucleotide ribosomal RNA is filed under the name uncultured bacterium. RNAcentral's name for it is "partial 16S ribosomal RNA". It matches the Rfam family "Bacterial small subunit ribosomal RNA", at positions 568 to 774 of the family's 1533-position model. The record is from RNAcentral.